Molecule: ribosomal RNA, 253 nt
Filed under: uncultured bacterium
Lineage: Bacteria
Description: partial 16S ribosomal RNA
Rfam family: Bacterial small subunit ribosomal RNA
Source: RNAcentral
UACGUAGGGUGCGAGCGUUAAUCGGAAUUACUGGGCGCAAAGCGUGCGCAGGCGGUCUGUUAAGACAGAUGUGAAAUCCCCGGGCUUAACCUGGGAACUGCAUUUGUGACUGGCAGGCUAGAGUAUGGCAGAGGGGGGUAGAAUUCCACGUGUAGCAGUGAAAUGCGUAGAGAUGUGGAGGAAUACCGAUGGCGAAGGCAGCCCCCUGGGCCAAUACUGACGCUCAUGCACGAAAGCGUGGGGAGCAAACAGG